AGCAUUUAGCACAAGGGGAGUGCGACCAGUCCUAAGCUGGAAGGUGGCGGUUCAAUUCCGUCGAUGCUA
Molecule: non-coding RNA, 69 nt
Organism: Blyttiomyces helicus
Lineage: Eukaryota; Fungi; Chytridiomycota; Chytridiomycetes
Source: the annotation of a GenBank genome assembly